RNAcentral lists this long non-coding RNA (308 nucleotides) under Cricetulus griseus (Chinese hamster). Its description in RNAcentral is "lncRNA (ENSCGRG00015031432.1)". The record is from RNAcentral. Lineage: Eukaryota; Metazoa; Chordata; Mammalia; Rodentia; Cricetidae.
AAGAUUUGAACCUUUAAAGAAUCUUUUUCAAAGCAGGUACAUCAUCUCUCAUGCUGUCUCGGUGAUACAUUAAAGGCUAAUUGUUCCAUAGCAUCAACAGACAGAAGAGGCAUGCUUCCAAUCUUACCCCAUAGAAGAAUUUUCUCAAGUGAAACUUUUCCUUCUUCAUGUCAACUUCAUUAGGGUCUCAUGUAGCCCAGCCUGGCCUCAGACUGCUAGAUAGGCAAGGAUAACUUUGGACUUCUGAUCUUCCACUCUCUACCUACCAAGUAUGAAGAUUAUAGAUUGCUUUUGUGUGGCUGUGAUAA